Molecule: long non-coding RNA, 1111 nt
Filed under: Brachypodium distachyon (stiff brome)
Lineage: Eukaryota; Viridiplantae; Streptophyta; Magnoliopsida; Poales; Poaceae
Description: long non-coding RNA (BDIS_LNC004166)
Source: RNAcentral
ACAAAGAGAGACCUGCAAAAUUAUCACCGUAACUUAAGAAGUUCUAUAAAGGAUUCAGAUGCUCAGAUGUUCAUUGAUAACCUCACAAAAAGGAAGAAAAUCAAUCCAGGAUUUUUCUGUUCCAACAUUAUUCAGCAAACUUGUAAUAUGAAAGCAAUGUCUUUUGGAACCUUCAUGUUUCAUUUUCUAGUUUUUUUUUCUCAGAGUGCAAUAUGAAAGCACUCUAGUAAGAUGUCAAUGAUUUGUACACUUAUUUAUGUCUUUGCAAUGUGGAGGACAGAAUUAUGGAGUCCCUAGAAUUAUUUGUACUCCAUUAAGAUGCAUGUUUAUGGCUUCAGUGUUACCUUUGCAAUGUUUCCAGAAUUAUGUAUUUCUAAUGUUCAAAGGCUUCAGUGUCUUCUUUUGAAUCCUUGUAUCAUCAAAAUCUGGACAGAACUAUCUGUUCUAUUUCUUGUUUUUGUUGUUUAUGCAGCAUGUUAGAAGAAAUUCAGAGAAUUUCUGUUCCAACAUUAUUCAGCAAACUUGUACUCUGAUCUUUCUUUCUUUGUUGGUACAAGAAAGCAUACGAUUGUCUACUUUGUAUACUCCAAGUUCCCUUGACUAAACAAACUGAAGUGCUGGAAUGGAUUCAGAAGUAUCACAUCGAUCUUUUCACUUUUCACAGAACAAAAGAGCUCAGGAAUUCAUUCAAAGACAGACCCAAAACAUUGACUUAUAUCAAGUAAUUACAUCAGGGAACGCUGCAGCUUGCUCGUACAGGAGGAGGACGCCCUCGUGUCUGCAUCAGACGCGGGGUUGCGCACCCUCGCCGCAGUCUGGGAAAAGAACACCGGAGUCCCUAGGGCUGCUCGCACGAGGGUGGCCUCGUCUCCGCAUCCAGCGCCGGAUCGAGCAUCCUCGUCCGCCGCCUCCGUCGGGGCGGGGCUGCUGCUCCUCUGACGGCACAAGGACGAACUUGAAGCGCUCGAGGAGGUCGUCUAAGGAGGGACGACGGCCGCAGAGCAGAAAUAGAUCGAGCGAGCUGCCGGCGUUCAUCUUGGCGUCGUCUCCGGCAGGAAAGAACUGAACAGGGGAUGGGGAUGAUUUGAGGACUUGCAGGUGCUUGGUUCGU